Molecule: long non-coding RNA, 880 nt
Filed under: Mytilus galloprovincialis (Mediterranean mussel)
Lineage: Eukaryota; Metazoa; Mollusca; Bivalvia; Mytilida; Mytilidae
Source: RNAcentral
AGAACAUUAAUAAUAAACACACCUUACAUCUAUUUUGAUAAGAUUAAACUGCAUUUAAGACCGAUUUUGGGGGUAUUUGUCUGCGUACAGUGUCAGAAAAACACAUUUCAAAUGAUAUUUUUGCGAUUUUCUGAUCGCCUUGAUAUCUGCAAAAGAAACUUUUUAAGAACGUUAAAUAUAACUCUAACGAAAAAUCGUAGCUUCUUUAUCAUUGUAUGUAACAUAUUAUCUGCAAACUAAAUUGAAUCAGCGUACAGGAGGUUCAUGUCUUUCCUGUUACCGCUACUUAAAUCAGCCGUUAAAUUAUUCUCCCUAUGAAUAUUGAAUCAGUCAGUGUUGAUCUCAAAAGUGCAAAGUAAUCUUUACAUUUAAAACGCCUCGUUCCUUGAACGACAUUGUAGAGAAAAGAAAUUUCAAGACAUUAAGGGAAAAAAAUAGAGCGUACUUUUUUUCAUGUCUAUGCUGUUACCACCAAUUUUGAUUAAUUACACCAACAGUAUACUUGUAAAAAGUGCAAUAACGUGCUGGAAACCAAAUUCACAAUAGAAAACAUAGUCACUUUCAACCAAAGGAGUAGUUAUUUCACAACAGCAAUCAAAAACGAAGAAAUUUGUCUAUCCUGUUAUGUCUAUCCUGUUACUAUGGUUGCUAUGGUUACAGUAACAGGAUAGACAAUUGUAGACAAAAACGUCGUUAAUUUUUUUAUCUUAACAUAUAGGUGCAAAACGAAUAAAAUAUUUCGUUGUUUGAACUCAUCUUAAGGUUAUAACGUCUUAAUCUUCCCAAUUUAAAAGCAUUCGCAAGUGCAAUACUGAUAUCGGUAACAGGAUAGACAAAAAGGUAACAGGAUAGACUUUUGUAUAGUGAUAUAUCAGAAACG